RNAcentral lists this non-coding RNA (24 nucleotides) under Arabidopsis thaliana (thale cress). Lineage: Eukaryota; Viridiplantae; Streptophyta; Magnoliopsida; Brassicales; Brassicaceae. The record is from RNAcentral.
UGUCUUGCUUCUUUCGUCGGAGGG